CAACAAAGAUUGGAUUCUACUCUCAUCUAUUCAUUUUAGGCCCUGAUUCUUGAAAUCAAGUGAUUAUUAAGGUCCCCAUGGAUCAUACCAAUUCAAAGAUAGGAACAGAUGCACCACCAAGCAGUACUCCAAACUGGACAAUUAACAUUUCAGAUGUAAGAACAGUUAAAGUCAGUAAUAUCUCACUAGCUACCUCUGAGAAGGAUAUUAAGGAAUUCUUCUCUUUUUCUGGUGAUAUCCAGUAUGUUGAAAUACAAAGGGAAACUGAAACAUCUCAGCUUGCAUACGUUACCUUCAAGGAAUC
Molecule: non-coding RNA, 304 nt
Organism: Camellia sinensis
Lineage: Eukaryota; Viridiplantae; Streptophyta; Magnoliopsida; Ericales; Theaceae
Source: RefSeq, a predicted model, not a curated record